UGGGGAAUAUUGGACAAUGGGCGCAAGCCUGAUCCAGCAAUGCCGCGUGUGUGAAGAAGGCCUGCGGGUUGUAAAGCACUUUAAGCCGGAAAGAAGGCCGCAAGGAUAAUACCCUUGUGGAUUGACGUUACCGGCAGAAUAAGCACCGGCUAACUCCGUGCCAGCAGCCGCGGUAAUACGGAGGGUGCGAGCGUUAAUCGGAAUUACUGGGCGUAAAGCGCGCGUAGGCGGUUCGUUAAGUCCGCUGUGAAAGCCCUGGGCUUAACCUGGGAACUGCAGUGGAAACUGGCGGGCUAGAGUAUGGUAGAGGAGAGUGGAAUUUCCGGUGUAGCAGUGAAAUGCGUAGAGAUCGGAAGGAACACCAGUGGCGAAGGCGGCUCUCUGGACCAAUACUGACGCUGAGGUGCGAAAGCGUGGGGAGCAAACAGG
This 429-nucleotide ribosomal RNA is filed under the name uncultured bacterium. Its description in RNAcentral is "bacterial SSU rRNA". It matches the Rfam family "Bacterial small subunit ribosomal RNA", at positions 355 to 776 of the family's 1533-position model. The record is from RNAcentral.